This is a long non-coding RNA of Crotalus tigris (Tiger rattlesnake), 318 nucleotides long. RefSeq lists it as uncharacterized. The transcript is spliced from 3 exons. Lineage: Eukaryota; Metazoa; Chordata; Lepidosauria; Squamata; Viperidae. The record is from RefSeq and is a predicted model, not a curated record.
UUUUUAAGGAGGCUCCAGAAUAACAAGUGGUGCCACAAGGAAGCCUCUGUAGGAAAAUUAGGCUUUACUAGGCAUCAGCUGGGCACCUCCCUGAAAAACAAAAACAAAACAAAAAAAACCCAGAAAGAGAAACAUUCAGAAGAAAAAGGAUUCUACUUAGGAUUAAGCCAUCGAAGGGAAGUGACCAACAAAGCCAAACAGUAUACAGUGUUUGAGUUACUUAAGGCUCCCAGCGACUUCCAAUUGACCGUUAAGCCAAUGCUGAAACAUUGACAUUCAGUUCAAAAAUCAUUCCCAAAUAGCUAUUUGUGUGCAAUU